This 495-nucleotide ribosomal RNA is filed under the name uncultured bacterium. RNAcentral's name for it is "bacterial SSU rRNA". It matches the Rfam family "Bacterial small subunit ribosomal RNA", at positions 24 to 518 of the family's 1533-position model. The record is from RNAcentral.
UCAGGAUGAACGCUGGCGGCGUGCCUAACACAUGCAAGUCGAACGAAGCACUUAGACAGAUCCUUCGGGUGACGUAUUGGUGACUGAGUGGCGGACGGGUGAGUAACGCGUGGGUAACCUGCCCUGUACAGGGGGAUAACAGUUAGAAAUGACUGCUAAUACCGCAUAAGCGCACGAUGGUAGCAUUACCAGGUGUGAAAAAACUCCGGUGGUACAGGAUGGGCCCGCGUCUGAUUAGCUUGUUGGCGGGGUAAGAGCCCACCAAGGCGACGAUCAGUAGCCGGUCUGAGAGGAUGAACGGCCACAUUGGAACUGAGACACGGUCCAAACUCCUACGGGAGGCAGCAGUGGGGAAUAUUGCACAAUGGGGGGAACCCUGAUGCAGCCAACGCCGCGUGAGUGAAGAAGUAUUUCGGUAUGUAAAGCUCUAUCAGCAGGGAAGAUAAUGACGGUACCUGACUAAGAAGCUCCGGCUAAAUACGUGCCAGCCGCCGC